GCGUACGUGUUAAGCGAGCGGAGAGUGUUUUGUACGAACACGUUUUCAUAAACCAAACAGAGGAUCCCCAGCGCCAAGACAAGUCCAUGGGGUUUUCGCAGAAAAGAAACACCGCAAUCUUUGUCCUUUUACACUUCCAAAUCUAAAUAAAACUUUCCCAAUUUCUUCAAUCUCCAUCUUCAAUGAAUUGUUGAGUUUUGGCAAUUUCCAUGCACGAUAUGCCAAUUGGGUUUCUUCUGCUAUGUCCCAUUCUCAUAUAUUAAAGUGGCAACUUGGCACUAUCUUCUCUGGCUGCUGUAAUGGUGUAAAACUGGGGGCAAAUAUCCAGCUCACAUGCUCAAAUCUUACUGCCCAACACACUUACUCACAGAAGUGACAACAAAAAUCUGGCAUUCCUCUCAACCCUAGAUCCAACAAUCGGGCACGCAAAUUUCAGAAAUAGCCCAACAAAUGCAAAUCCACCGGAUCAUUAGCUGGGUUAGGCCCAACUAAUGUACGAACGUCAGGCCCAGUAAAGCCCAGCCCAAAUAAUGUCCGAACGUCAGGUCCAGUAAAGGCCAGCCCAACUAUUGUACGAACGUCAGGUCCAGUAAAGCCCAGCCCAAUAUCGCGUAUCCUCUUGUUAGGACACUAUUUUGCAUUAACUAUUAAUAGAAAAUAAUUGGUUCAUAAUAUUAAAUCACCUUAAAACUUUUUUUUUUAUUUAUUUUUAAAAACAUCU
Molecule: long non-coding RNA, 721 nt
Organism: Cucurbita pepo subsp. pepo (vegetable marrow)
Lineage: Eukaryota; Viridiplantae; Streptophyta; Magnoliopsida; Cucurbitales; Cucurbitaceae
Source: RefSeq, a predicted model, not a curated record